Molecule: ribosomal RNA, 450 nt
Filed under: uncultured bacterium
Lineage: Bacteria
Description: partial 16S ribosomal RNA
Rfam family: Bacterial small subunit ribosomal RNA
Source: RNAcentral
GUGGGGAAUUUUGGACAAUGGGCGAAAGCCUGAUCCAGCCAUGCCGCGUGCAGGAUGAAGGCCUUCGGGUUGUAAACUGCUUUUGUCAGGGAAGAAAUCUUCUGGGCUAAUACCCCGGGCGGAUGACGGUACCUGAAGAAUAAGCACCGGCUAACUACGUGACAGCAGCCGCGGUAAUACGUAGGGUGCGAGCGUUAAUCGGAAUUACUGGGCGUAAAGCGUGCGCAGGCGGUUAUGUAAGACAGAUGUGAAAUCCCCGGGCUCAACCUGGGAACUGCCUCCAAAACUGCAUGACUAGAGUACGGUAGAGGGGGAUGGAAUUCCGCGUGUAGCAGUGAAAUGCGUAGAUAUGCGGAGGAACACCGAUGGCGAAGGCAAUCCCCUGGGCCUGCACUGACGCUCAUGCACGAAAGCGUGGGGAGCAAACAGGAUUAGAAACCCGGGUAGUCC